RNAcentral lists this ribosomal RNA (499 nucleotides) under uncultured Glomeromycotina. RNAcentral's name for it is "partial small subunit ribosomal RNA". It matches the Rfam family "Eukaryotic small subunit ribosomal RNA", at positions 591 to 1091 of the family's 1831-position model. Lineage: Eukaryota; Fungi; Glomeromycota. The record is from RNAcentral.
CCAAUAGCGUAUAUUAAAGUUGUUGCAGUUAAAAAGCUCGUAGUUGAAUUUCGGGGUUAGUAGGCUGGUCGUGCCACUGGUAUGUACUGGUCUCACUGAUUCCUCCUUCCUGAUGAGCUGUAAUGCCAUUAAUUUGGUGUUGCAGGGAAUCUGGACUGUUACUUUGAAAAAAUUAGAGUGUUUAAAGCAGGCUAACGCUUGAAUACAUUAGCAUGGAAUAAUGAAAUAGGACGUUCGAUCCUAUUUUGUUGGUUUCUAGGAUUGACGUAAUGAUUAAUAGGGAUAGUUGGGGGCAUUAGUAUUCAAUUGUCAGAGGUGAAAUUCUUGGAUUUAUUGAAGACUAACUACUGCGAAAGCAUUUGCCAAGGAUGUUUUCAUUAAUCAAGAACGAAAGUUAGGGGAUCGAAGACGAUCAGAUACCGUCGUAGUCUUAACCAUAAACUAUGCCGACUAGGGAUCGGAUGAUGUUAAUUUUUUAAUGACUCAUUCGGCGCCUUAC